AAGGCUUUAAGUUAAAUAAACUAAUAGCCUUCAAAGCUGUAAAUAAAGAAAUUACUUUAAGCCUUA
This 66-nucleotide transfer RNA is filed under the name Drosophila guanche. Its description in RNAcentral is "trnW(tca)". It matches the Rfam family "tRNA". Rfam says of the family: Transfer RNA (tRNA) molecules are approximately 80 nucleotides in length. Their secondary structure includes four short double-helical elements and three loops (D, anti-codon, and T loops). The record is from RNAcentral. Lineage: Eukaryota; Metazoa; Arthropoda; Insecta; Diptera; Drosophilidae.